This 492-nucleotide ribosomal RNA is filed under the name uncultured bacterium. RNAcentral's name for it is "partial 16S ribosomal RNA". It matches the Rfam family "Bacterial small subunit ribosomal RNA", at positions 29 to 507 of the family's 1533-position model. The record is from RNAcentral.
AGUGAACGCUGGCGGUAGGCCUAACACAUGCAAGUCGAACGGCAGCACAGUAAGAGCUUGCUCUUACGGGUGGCGAGUGGCGGACGGGUGAGGAAUACAUCGGAAUCUACUUUUUCGUGGGGGAUAACGUAGGGAAACUUACGCUAAUACCGCAUACGACCUACGGGUGAAAGCAGGGGAUCUUCGGACCUUGCGCGAUUGAAUGAGCCGAUGUCGGAUUAGCUAGUUGGCGGGGUAAAGGCCCACCGAGGCGACGAUCCGUAGCUGGUCUGAGAGGAUGAUCGGCCACACUGGAACUGAGACACGGUCCAGACUCCUACGGGAGGCAGCAGUGGGGAAUAUUGGACAAUGGGCGCAAGCCUGAUCCAGCCAUACCGCGUGGGUGAAGAAGGCCUUCGGGUUGUAAAGCCCUUUUGUUGGGAAAGAAAAGCAGCAGGUUAAUACCCCGCUGUUCUGACGGUACCCAAAGAAUAAGCACCGGCUAACUUCGUG